AAACUUCAUCAUGAAAUGUUGGGGACCUGCCUCACCAGGUUGAUGUAAGGACCUCGUGGGAUGAAGCCAGCUCAGUGACCAUUCCAGAGAGGACACUCGACACAUGCUCCGGGCAGCUGCCACCAAGAUGGCCCGACUGAGCCAAGGACAUCGGAAACGCUGAAGAACGUACCCUGGAUGAGCUCAGAGGCUGCUGGCUUUAAAGGUCUCAGCCAGAAAGCAAGCCUCCCUGCAUGGCUUCAUCUCUCAAACACGAUUCACUGCACCUGAAGAAGGAAAGCCAAACGCCACAGUGUCCCUGCCCCUGUCUCUCAACAGGCUUGUGUCCGUGACCCCUGCAGGAGGGGCAUGGCGUGCUUCCUUCCUUCCACACCAUCCCCCUUCCAGGCAAAUAAUCCAGCUCUAGCUUGCUUUGCGGACUUGCCAGAUCACCCUUCCCAUCACAGUUUCCCAAUCUUUCUUCUCUUCCUUGCAAAGGCGUGUAUUAAGGGAGAUGGCAAGUCAUUCAUUCGAUAUAAGCUAAUUGAGCACCUACUAUGUGUUGGCUGUGGGGGAUGCAGCAGCGCAUAAGACGAUAGGUCCCAGAGCUUAAUUGGGGGUGGAAGGUGACGCACCAUAAACAAGUAAACACACAGCUGAUGUUGGGGUCGGGGGGGUGCAGCUGAUAAUGGGAUUCACCCUCCAGAGGCAGAGCACUUAAUUAACUUCUGGGACAAGAGGAGGGGAAGGGAAAAUGAGGCUCUUAAGGGGACAGGCCAAAGGCUCUCACCCCAUGAUCAGCCAGGAUUCAGCCAAGGACAUAAAAUCUCAGGUUCAAUAAAUAUUAACUGACAACCUAGUCUGUGCACAGAGCUGUGCUAGACACUAGAGAUACAGAAGUGAACAAAACAGACAACACCCUUGCCCUCCUGGAGCUGACAUUCUUGUGCAGGAGAGGGACAGAUGCUACAUGGGCACAUAAAUACGUGAAGAUUAUUAAGAAUAGCUGCUGUUGUGCAGGAAGGCUUAGCCUUUGCCAGGAAACGUUAGAUACAAGAUGCGGCAGGGCGGAAAACAGGGAGGGUCCCUGCUUUCAGCCAGCAGCUAAACGGUCAAGUUCUAUGUACCGGCUGAGAAUAGGGCCUGGGGAUGAAAGCCAGAGAAGCCUCUCUCAGAAGCCAGGGAAGUGGCUGCUCACCCGCUUAAUCCCUCCAUGGCUCCCCAUUCCCUCCCAAUACAAUCCACACCGGAGACUACAAGGCCCCACCCACAUCCCAAAUAUCCUGUCAGAUGCACUUCCCAUCAGCCCUGUCUGACCUCUGGCCUUUCCCCCUGUUCUUACUGUCGGGGAGACUUUCUGUAACCCCAUACCAGCCCCACUGUCUCCCCCAACCACUUAUCCUUUGGGUACCAGUUUUGAAGUCACCUCCCCCAGGAAGCCUUCCCUGCUCACAACAUAGGAUAAAGUGCUUGUACCUGGAGGUUAUGCCACCCCAGGACACCCCAUCUAUUUGUUGGCAAGCCCUGGGGGUAGAAACGGGGUCUGUCUUGUCCACAGUUUUCUCUCUAUUGCUAGCACAGAGCCAGGCACACAGCAUGCAAUAAAUGACUUAGUGAUCAAAUGACUGAAUAUAUCUCCCACGAACAUAUCUACUGUGGUGCCUAAAAUCCCACCAUUUACCACUCUUGCAGGUUAAGGCGGAGUCAGUACACUACAACCCACGUGCAUGCGCCUGUUCGUUUAUCUCUAUGGCUACAUUGUUGCUACUACUGCAGAGUGUAGGAGCUGCGAAAAAGACCCACCCUAUGGCCACAAAACCUAAAACAUUUACUAUCCGUCCCCUCAGAAAAAAGUUUGCCUGCCCCUAUGUUAAGAAAUCCAACGACCCUGUCCUGAAAUAGGCUCAGCUUCCUUGUCUGUAAAAUGGGGACGACACUAGUGCCUACCUGUUAGGGUCACUGGGAGCAGAAUACAACGCUUAGAACAGUGCCUGGCACUGAGAUUCCUGGGUGUCCACUGUUAAUACUGUUACUAUUUCCGUGGGCCACUCCAUCAGAUCAGCUGGAAGAACUCUCUCAGAGAGACGGAACCCAGGCUAGGAAUGAAGGGGCCAGGAAGAAAGAGGUCACGAGAUUGAGGGGCUCUGGAAAGAGAGGCUGCAGUU
This 2144-nucleotide long non-coding RNA is filed under the name Homo sapiens (human). Its description in RNAcentral is "HSALNT0195147". Lineage: Eukaryota; Metazoa; Chordata; Mammalia; Primates; Hominidae. The record is from RNAcentral.